RNAcentral lists this ribosomal RNA (367 nucleotides) under uncultured organism. RNAcentral's name for it is "bacterial SSU rRNA". It matches the Rfam family "Bacterial small subunit ribosomal RNA", at positions 526 to 896 of the family's 1533-position model. The record is from RNAcentral.
CGAAGGAUGCAAGCGUUAUCCGGAUUCAUUGGGUUUAAAGGGAGCGUAGGUGGUCUUAUAAGUCAGUGGUGAAAUCUCUGGGCUUAACCCAGAAAUUGCCAUUGAUACUGUAGGACUUGAGUAUAGUUGCCGUUGGCGGAAUAUGACAUGUAGUGGUGAAAUACAUAGAGAUGUCAUAGAACACCAAUUGCGAAGGCAGCUAACGAAACUAUAACUGACACUGAGGCUCGAAAGUGUGGGGAUCAAACAGGAUUAGAUACCCUGGUAGUCCACACUGUAAACGAUGAUUACUCGCUGCUAGAGGGUAACUUUAGUGGCUUAGCGAAAGCGAUAAGUAAUCCACCUGGGGAGUACGCCGGCAACGGUG